GUGAAUCAUCAAAUUUUUGAACGCAUAUUGCACUCUCUGGUAUUCCGGAGAGUAUGCCUGUUUGAGGGUAAUUAAGAAGAAUCUUUAACCAAUUUUUUUUGGUCAAAGGAAAUGAGUUCUCCGCGUUUAUAGCGGUAGCUUGAAAUAAAUGGUCAAGUCUCAUUUUGUCCAGACGCGGUAUUAUAUUAAUUCGCGGAAUUCUUAAUA
Molecule: unclassified non-coding RNA, 207 nt
Filed under: Ambisporaceae sp.
Lineage: Eukaryota; Fungi; Glomeromycota; Glomeromycetes; Archaeosporales; Ambisporaceae
Description: partial contains 5.8S ribosomal RNA and internal transcribed spacer 2
Rfam family: 5.8S ribosomal RNA (bases 1-71)
Source: RNAcentral